Molecule: long non-coding RNA, 3644 nt
Filed under: Oryza brachyantha (malo sina)
Lineage: Eukaryota; Viridiplantae; Streptophyta; Magnoliopsida; Poales; Poaceae
Description: long non-coding RNA (OBRA_LNC001901)
Source: RNAcentral
GCAACUGAGGGCAUACACAGUGUAAGGAUCCCCGUGUAGUGGUUCUAGCAAAAAAGAAGAAGCCAAGUAGGAUAAAGCCCUCCACUUCACAGUGCAUAUAGCCUCAGGUGGGUCCCACAGAAAAAAAAACACCUUUUCUUUUUCAGCCACUCAACCGUCUCUCCCAUCUCUCUCCGAGCUCUCUCCUCCCUCUCUCCCUCUCACAGAUCUGAGCCUCCUCCGACGGCAGUGGCCCACGGCAGCGGAGCUGGGCAUGGCAUCGACGGCGACGGAGCUCGGCGGCGCUGGAGGUGGUCACGGAUCACAGCGGCGGGCCGACAGGCUCGGUGGCGCGGGGGCGGAGCUCGACGUCGGGCCUGUGAGCUCGGCGGCGCGGGCGAGCGGAUCUAGCCGAAUCUAGUCCGGGCCGACGACCUCGGCGACAUAAGUGAGCAGAUCCACUCUAGCUAACGAGCUCUCCUCUCCCGCUUGGCGGCGCGUCAGAGGGCGCCCGCGUCCCGGCGGCGCUUGUGUCUAGGCGGCGGCGUCCGCGUCCCGACAGCGGUGCCCGUGUCCAGGCGGUGGUGGCCGCGUUCCGGCGACAGCACGUCGGAGGUCGGCCGCGUCCCGUCGGCGGCGGAGGAGCACAUCUUGGCAGCGGCGGACGAGCUCGGCGGCCAGACUCUCUCCCUCACCUUGUCACGCACAUCUCGGAGGAGCUUGCGGCAAGGUGGACGGACGGCUUCUCUGAUAACUUUUCGAAAAAGCUAACGAGAAACGCGUGCCUCGCAGAAGACGCGAGAAGCCUGGUUGGAUGACGCAUUCGGCCGAGCUGGCGAGGAGUCUUGUACGGGGAGGUGUGAAGCUACAUGCCAUGUCACUGCAAUGUGCAUGGACGGGGAGGUAAUACUUAGUUUGAAUUUGAACUAGAGUUUUUUUUUAUUUUAGGAUGGAAGAAGCACAAGCUAGUAAAGAUUCGCACUAGUCGUCUGCUUUAUCCGUCUCAAAAUAUAAUUAUUUAUAGUAUUUUUAUAGUUAAUUAUUUCUAGUAUUAAAUCUUAUCCUAAAAUAUAAUAUUUCUAGUACUAUUCACGUUACUUACUACUCGCUUUCUUUCCAUUUUAUCAUCUAUCCAACUUUUUCUCGCUCUUAUUUACUUCUCAUUAUCAAAGAACACUAUUGUUUUUUCUUAACUUUAACCACUGCUAAAAAAACUAAAAAUACUUAUAUUUUAUACACCAGCCCGGUACGAGUUUAGUUUAGUCGGGGAAAUGAAAAAUUUUGGAUGUCACAUUAGACGUUUGACCAGAUGUCAGAUUGAGUUUUUGAUACGAAUGAAAAAACGAAUUUCACGGCUCGCCUAGAAACCGUAAAACGAAUCUUUUGAGCCAAAUUAAUCCGUCAUUAGCGCAUAUGAGUUACUGUAGCACUUAUGGCUAAUCAUCGACUAAUUAGGCUCAAAAGAUUCCUCACGAUUCUCCACAUAACUGUGUAAUUAGUUUUUCGUUUUAUUUUUAUUUAAUGCUCUAUUUAGAUUUAGAUGUCUAAAGAUUUGAUAUGAUAAAAUUUUUGGAAACUAAACCUGGCCUAACCACAAUAUCAGUUUAGCUCCACAGGCCGCAAGUAGCACCUCAAUAUUCAGAAAAUUCAGAUGCUAGUAGUAGCUGAAAUGGCUGUCCCGUGAGACCGUGACCUGCUUGAAAGGAUAAGGCAAGCGGUCACCUUUCUUCAGAGAAAGAAAAAGAUCACGGCUGCUAGCUUUGUUCCAGUAACACGUACUACUACUGCUCUAGCAGCAGCAGAGAGUGAUCUGUUUCUGUUGGCGAAUUUGGCUCGAUCGAUCGAUCUGCUUCGUCGUUCUCAUCCAAUCCAAUCCAACCCGGCCGACGACGGCCACGGACGAGGCUAUCGGCUAAGGCGGGGCCCCUGUGUCUCGUGGGGNNNNNNNNNNNNNNNNNNNNNNNNNNNNNNNNNNNAGCCUAGCGGCUACGGCUGCUCCGUGAUCUGUCGGUGCGGCCGGCCACAUGUCCGAAUCGGAAAUGGAACACGCAUCUCGCAGACAACCCCAGAGUCUGCAGACCUGACGAGCCAUGUCCUCCUCGUGUUGCCCCUCCUCGUCGUCUUGUGUCCUGUGACCCACACAGUUCUCAGUGCUCACAUACACUUGCUGCUAGCCAUGGAUUAGCCAAGAUAUGGCAUUUGAAUCAAGUAAUCGUUCUGCUUGUUUGUUUGUUUGUUUCUAGUGCUAGGUGCGGAGAAAAACCAAACAACUUAUUUCUAAUUAAAAAUUAGUUAAUAAAUAAUAUAUAUGCGUGUGUUUUUAAUCUAUCAAAAAGUUAAUGGUGAAAAAAUAAAAUAUAAUAAAAACCCUGAAAUCUACUUCAAAUCCAAAUCCAAAGAUGGCUGCCAGUUUCUUCUUCAUUCAUGGAGUAUCUCUGGUUAAUCGUAUCUUAAUUUUGGCACUAAUAACGAAAGCUCUGUCUGUCCAGUUGAACCCAACAUCCCUAUCGCGAAUCGUGAUAGAUUAAGACUUAAUUUUUUUAUUGAUCAAACAAAGAAACUGUUCGACACCGAAUCAUUGGAAAGGCUGCUACGUACGUAUACAGGUGUAUGUAAACACCUGGAGACUGCAACAUCUACCAGCCUGUGUUCUACGUACGCCUAGUAAGAAAUUGACCCGGUGUUGACAGCCACGGCUGAUCAAUACUCCCUCUUCCAAAAAAAACUAAUUUUUUUGGUUUUUCUCCAUUCGUCUUAUAUGUAAAUAUUUUAAAAAUAUUUAAAAUAUUAGUCACACGUAGAGUAUUCAUGUUUUAUUAUUUAAUAAUAUAAAAUUAUUAAUUGUAAUUUUUAUUAAUAAGACGAAUAGUUAAAACUUUUAUAUUUUCUGUUUUAUUAUCUAAUAAUAUAAAAUUAUUAAUCGUAAAUUUUUUAAUAAGACGAAUGGUUAAACAUGUUUUCUGUUUUAAUAAUAAUAUAAAAUUAUUAAUCGUAAAUUUUUUAAUAAGACAAAUAGUUAAACAUAUAUAUAUAUAUAAACUGAAAAGUUGAUUUAUUCCAGUACGAUAUAUAUAUAAACUGAAAAGUUGAUUGUUUUCUGUUUUAUUAAUAAUAAUAUAAAAUUAUUAAUCGUAAAUUUUUUAAUAAGACAAAUAGUUAAACAUAUAUAUAUAUAAACUGAAAAGUUAUAUAUAAACUGAAAAGUUGAUUUAUUCCAGUACGAUAUAUAUAUAAACUGAAAAGUUGAUUUGAUUUGAUUUAUUCUAGUACGGGAGUGGGACAGAGGGAGUAGUGGGACAGGACAAAGAUCAACUCAUUUCAACGCACACAAUUUAUGGCUGUAAUUAAAUCGCAACUAAUCAGGAGUAUCAGACAAAAGAUGACAACUUUCAGGGCAAACAAGAUUUACACAGUUGCACGCUUGGGAACAAGAACAUGUAUGUGAUGUGAGGAAUAUAUUACACAUGAAUUGUGGCAUGGACAUGGACACGGACACGAUCAGUUAAACACGAACAGGGCGUGGAUUACUACGAACAGUGAAAGAAAGAAUUUUACCCCAGCUACAUUACACAUUGUGUUCUUCGAUCCCCAAGUGCCAAUCUUUUAUUUAUUUAUACAGACGCCGGCCAGCCCAUCUUCUUCCCCAUCUCCGGCGGCGGCGGACG